Molecule: long non-coding RNA, 430 nt
Filed under: Medicago truncatula (barrel medic)
Lineage: Eukaryota; Viridiplantae; Streptophyta; Magnoliopsida; Fabales; Fabaceae
Description: long non-coding RNA (MTRU_LNC007039)
Source: RNAcentral
UUGAUUCUCAGAGAUUCGUCAAGGAAUCAUCAUCAUUGAAUCGUUGCUCUGCAAUUCGAGUGCGAGUCCACCACCGAAAGCGGCGAACUCAAGCACGAUCACAGAGACUUUCUCGGAGACGAAGAAGAGGGACGAAAAUGAGCAUGUCGAACCUGUGAAGAAGAAGAGAGGAUCGGAACAGCAAGAAACCAAGCCAGAAUCAACGGAACAAGAUUAAAUUCAAGUUUCCCUGAAGAUCCGGUUCGGAAUCACCAAGAAAACCACAGGUAAAACUCAAACUUCAUCUUCUUUUUCGCAAGAACAGAGAAAAAGGCGAAUCAAGUGUAAAUCUGUAGGAUUAUAGAAGCAUGUAACCGAAAAAGCACAAAGAACAAAAGAAAAACUUCAUUCAAAACCGCAACUUCAAACUCAGAUCUACUCCGGUUGAAAU